RNAcentral lists this ribosomal RNA (444 nucleotides) under uncultured bacterium. RNAcentral's name for it is "partial 16S ribosomal RNA". It matches the Rfam family "Bacterial small subunit ribosomal RNA", at positions 354 to 796 of the family's 1533-position model. The record is from RNAcentral.
GUGAGGAAUAUUGGUCAAUGGGCGGGAGCCUGAACCAGCCAAGUCGCGUGAAGGAAGAAGGAUCUAUGGUUCGUAAACUUCUUUUGCAGGGGAAUAAAGUGCAGGACGUGUCCUGUUUUGUAUGUACCCUGAGAAUAAGGAUCGGCUAACUCCGUGCCAGCAGCCGCGGUAAUACGGAGGAUCCGAGCGUUAUCCGGAUUUAUUGGGUUUAAAGGGUGCGUAGGUGGUUUGAUAAGUCAGCGGUGAAAGUUUGCAGCUUAACUGUAAAAAUGCCGUUGAAACUGUCGGACUUGAGUGUAAAUGAGGUAGGCGGAAUGCGUGGUGUAGCGGUGAAAUGCAUAGAUAUCACGCAGAACUCCGAUUGCGAAGGCAGCUUACUAAGCUACAACUGACACUGAAGCACGAAAGCGUGGGGAUCAAACAGGAUUAGAAACCCUGUAGUCC